UAUNGCGCAAUGGGGGCAACCCUGGCGCAGCNAUGCCGCGUGAAUGAAGAAGGCCUUCGGGUUGUAAAGUUCUUUCGGUAGCGAGGAAGGCAUUUAGUUUAAUAGACUAGGUGAUUGACGUUAACUACAGAAGAAGCACCGGCUAACUCCGUGCCAGUAGCCGCGGUAAUACGGAGGGUGCAAGCGUUAAUCGGAAUAACUGGGCGUAAAGGGCACGCAGGCGGUGACUUAAGUGAGGUGUGAAAGCCCCGGGCUUAACCUGGGACUUGCAUUUCAUACUGGGUCGCUAGAGUACUUUAGGGAGGGGUAGGAUUCCACGUGUAGCGGUGAAAUGCGUAGAGAUGUGGAGGAAUACCGAAGGCGAAGGCAGCCCCUUGGGAAUGUACUGACGCUCAUGUGCGAAAGCGUGGGGAGCAAACAGG
This 422-nucleotide ribosomal RNA is filed under the name uncultured bacterium. Its description in RNAcentral is "bacterial SSU rRNA". It matches the Rfam family "Bacterial small subunit ribosomal RNA", at positions 362 to 776 of the family's 1533-position model. The record is from RNAcentral.